CCUACGGGUGGCAGCAGUGGGGAAUAUUGGGCAAUGGAGGAAACUCUGACCCAGCAACGCCGCGGGAAUGAUGAAGGUCGUCGGAUGGGAAAGUUCUUGUCGAAGGGAAGAAGAAAGUGACGGUAACUUAGGAAUAAGCCUCGGCUAACUACGGGCCAGCAGCCGCGGUAAUACGGAGGAUCCGAGCGUUAUCCGGAUUUAUUGGGUUUAAAGGGAGCGUAGGGGGCUUGUGAAGUCAGUUGUGAAAGUUUGCGGCUCAACCGGAAAAUUGCAGUGGAAACGGGCAGUCUUGAGUACAGUCGAGGUGGGCGGCAUUCGUGGUGUAGCGGUGCACUGCUUCGAUAUCACGCAGAACUCCGAUUGCGCAGGCAGUUCACUGGACUGCAACUGCCACUGCGGCUCG
RNAcentral lists this ribosomal RNA (403 nucleotides) under uncultured bacterium. Its description in RNAcentral is "partial 16S ribosomal RNA". It matches the Rfam family "Bacterial small subunit ribosomal RNA", at positions 338 to 755 of the family's 1533-position model. The record is from RNAcentral.